CCCUUGCUGGUCUGGUGGCUAGGAUUCCUGGUUCUCAUCCUUGGAAUGAACCUCUCAUUCCAGGUUCAAUUCCUUGGCAGGGAA
This 84-nucleotide transfer RNA is filed under the name Cervus elaphus hippelaphus. Its description in RNAcentral is "tRNA-Glu". The record is from RNAcentral. Lineage: Eukaryota; Metazoa; Chordata; Mammalia; Artiodactyla; Cervidae.